This 394-nucleotide ribosomal RNA is filed under the name uncultured bacterium. Its description in RNAcentral is "bacterial SSU rRNA". It matches the Rfam family "Bacterial small subunit ribosomal RNA", at positions 28 to 416 of the family's 1533-position model. The record is from RNAcentral.
GACGAACGCUGGCGGCGUGCCUAACACAUGCAAGUGGAGCGACGAACCGGGCUUCGGCCCGGGGCCAAGCCGCGAACGGGUGAGUAACACGUGGGUAACCUGCCCUGAUGAUUGGGACAACCCGAGGAAACUCGGGCUAAUACCGAAUGUGCCCUCCGACCAUAAGGUCUGCGGGGAAAGGAAGCUUCGGCCUCCGCAUCGGGAUGGGCCCGCGGCGCAUUAGCUUGUUGGUGAGGUAACGGCUCACCAAGGCGACGAUGCGUAGCUGGUCCGAGAGGACGAUCAGCCACACUGGGACUGAGACACGGCCCAGACUCCUACGGGAGGCAGCAGUGGGGAAUCUUGCGCAAUGCGCGAAAGCGUGACGCAGCAACGCCGCGUGGGGAAGACGGCC